UGUUCUGUAAACGUUUAAUAUUUUUGAUUGAAAUUAAUAAAAAUAAGGACGGAUCCCACAAAAACCCAAGAAGAAGAAUAAGCUGACGUCAUCAUAUGCGACACUUACACUCCGGUGAGUAGAAACCUGCAUCUGCCAAAAUGUUUUUGUACUCUAAAACCAAAAAUAACUCCAAAGUGUCACGUUAUAAAGUUACUGAUUGUAGUUUUAGGACUUAAUGGCAGUAGAACUGUGAUGCAAUUGGUUGAAGACACGUUUGUAACUUUUUUUUUGCCGGAGAAUAUACGGUGGAAGGGUUAAAUUAGCCUCUUGUACCUGUGCUUAAUACGUUUAAUUAGCCGUGAUAAUUAAACGUAUUAAUUAUCACGGCUAAUUAAACGUGAUAAUUAGCCGUGUUGUUGUUGGCAACAACAAUGCUUGUUGCCACUUUGUACAAUUGGAGGGUUCCUAAAAACAUCAGGCUGUGAUGAUCUUUAAAGUUUUGUUUAUGAAUCCUGUCUGAAUACACUGAUUGCAGGUAGGUCAUUUACUUGAAUUAAAAAUGAACUUGCAUCAGUACAGGCACAUUUCUUUCCUCCUGUCUAUGUUAUUUAUUGAUGUUGCAAGCCAGAUGAAUAGAAGUAAAGAGCUGAGAACCUGAUCUUUGAACAGACAGAGAACAUAGGUCAGGAGCAGCCUGGGAUGCUUACUGAGGAGUAUCCAAUGAUGAUAUCCCAGACAAUCACUUUUUUCCAUGGAUGUAACAUGCAAGUACUGGCCAUAUCUUGAAACAAAAAGCUAAUAAGAAGCUGUCCUGAGCUCCAACACCUGCUUAAAAAAAUGAAGCCAUUUCUCUCAAUUUUCCAUGGUAAACCCCAUGAAUGUAAGACACAGAUGGACACAAAGCUUGUGCCAAGGCUCAUCGCAAGAUCAGAAAGGAGAAACCAUCUUAGCAUUGGCUUUAGAAGAUGUUGGUCACUUGAAGACUGAUACAGACACAGAAGUUCUGUCUUUGGAAGAGAUCCUGUCCGGUGUCUCUUGGCAUGUUUGACUGGGGUGGGGAUGUACUGUCACAGGGUGAAUUAGUUAAACUUUUAGACUUACCGCAUUAGUUCUACGACCAGGGAUUGAUUUUGUGUACUACAUUUCCACCAAUCUAAAUAACAAGAAAAGGAAAAAAAAAACUAUUUUAAAAACAAAAGAAGAAAUGAAGUCAAAGCGUGUACACUUGAAAACUGAAAACUAGUGUGGUGACUGUCAUAUUUUAUAAUCCUUCUAAACUUUACUCUUUACAUGGAUUUAGACAUUUUCUCAAAUUAGCUUAACAUUGAUUUUAACCACUUUACAAUGGCCACAUAAAUGGAAACUAAGCCCAAAACAAGUUGUCUUUGCUUAUAAACAGUCUAUAUAGUUUUUCUGUUUCUGUGAGAAUUUUGACAUUUUAGGGCUGGACUCCUUAAGUCGCAAGUUCAGUUUUCUUCUGGGUUCGAUUCUCGGCCCGAGGUCUUUCUGCAUGGAGUUUGCAUGUUCUCCCUGUGCAUGGUGGGUUCUUUCAGGGUUCUCCGGCUUCCUCCCACAGUCCAAAAACUUACUUACUUCUCUUCAUCUGGCUUGCAACAGCAAUAAAUAACAUAGACAGGAGGAAAGAAAUGUGCCUGUACUGAUGCAAGUUCAUUUUUAAUUCAAGUAAAUGACCUACCUGCAAUCAGUGUAUUCAGACAGGGUUCAUAAACAAAACUAUAAAGAUCAUCACAGCCUAGGGGCACUGAUGUUUUUAGGAACAGUCCAAUUUUACAAAGUGGCAACAACAAGCAUGACUAUAAAUACUAUUUAUGUGACUUUAUCACGGCUAAUUAAACGUAUUAAGCACAGGUACAAUUAGCCUCUAAGAGGCUAAUUUAGCUAGCUUGCACCGUAUAUUCUCCGGCAAAAAAAUGUUACAAACGUGUCUUCAACCAUUCGCAUCACAGUCCUACUGCCAUUAAGUCCUAAAACUACAAUCAGAAACUUUAUAACGUGACACUUUGGAGUUAUUUUUGGUUUUGGAGUACAAAAACAUUUUGGCAGAUGCAGGUUUCUACUCACCGGAGUGUAAGUGUAGUAUAUGAUGACGUCAGCUUAUUCUUCUUCUUGGGUUUUUGUGAGAUCCGUCCUUAUUUUUAUUAUUUCAAUCAAAAAUAUUAAACGUUUACAGAACAGUUUGCAUGCAAUCACAAAAGAAAAAUACAUCUGAAUUUUUCUUAAAUUGAUUUGGUGUAAAUCAUUGAUAUCAUACUCAAAAAUAGUUGGUAAAUAAAAAAAGGCUUUUAAAUCAAGUUACAACCACCACAAAAACCCUCCGGUUUUAUAUUUGACUGAGUUAUGUUUAAAUACCCAAUUAAAGUCCUUUGACCGAUACGUCUGGCAUGUAUUUGUAGUAAAUAUUCUUAAUAUCCUGUUCAAACUAGCACAUAAAUUGUAAAUAAAGGUUGUUUUUUUUUUUAAAUAGAAUAGACUCGUCAUCUUAUUCGUUCCUAGAUUGUCAGUAUCGGACGCAUAGGGAGCGGUACAGCAUUCAAUGAGAGAACCCUUCUCGUCAAUUAUUGACGCAUAUUGACCCUCUGCGUCAAUAUGUGACAAGUUGGGAGUGACAAUGUGUUGCUCUUUCAAUCACUGCACUGCAGCUGCAGAGAAAACUUGGAACUUUAACUUUAUCAUUCUGCCCCAGUGGUUCGCUACAGGCAGCCUGAGUCGGAACCACCAACAGAUAUAAAGAAUGUCUGUCAAACAUUCUGUUAUAAAGAAACACAGGGCCGUGCAGAGACCUUUUGAGGGGGAGGGGGCUCAAAGUUAAAAAAUGGCACAUUGAACAAGAUCUUAAAACACCGUACAACAACAUAGCAACAACCCAUAUUAAUCAAUAAUUUAAUUGGAUCCUACUAUAUCAUUGCCAUCAUGUGGGGACAAUGCAAAGCAAAUGUAGUAUAUUUUCCCCAACAGGUAUAGUGUUACUGUUUCUGCUGCUGACAGUCCUGGAGGACUGAGUUGAACUGAGACUGUAGCUGUUAAACAGGGUUAAUUUGCUGCCAUUUUACUAAUUAAGCCCUAAUAAUAUCUAUUUAACCUCUACAACAACUUGACUGCAGACUGCUUUAUAGAUCUAAAAAGCUCAAAGGGGUUAACUCUAUAUAUUUUUAGCAUCUCUGAGAUCUAGAAUUGUAAAACUGGGAUAUCAAGGCAAAGAAAACUCAGUAGCGGCUGGUAAGGCCCUCCAGACAUUCAGGGGCCCCUAGAAAUGGUUUAAUUGUAAAACAGACCAUAGAUCUAAACCUGUAGCAUUAAUUUAUAGAGAAUGACAGUGUUAUUGAAUUUUAUUUAAUGCAUUCACCUGAGAA
Long non-coding RNA from Poecilia latipinna (sailfin molly), 3353 nucleotides. RefSeq lists it as uncharacterized. NCBI's taxonomy places the organism in Eukaryota, Metazoa, Chordata, Actinopteri, Cyprinodontiformes, Poeciliidae. The transcript is spliced from 2 exons. The record is from RefSeq and is a predicted model, not a curated record.